CAAUAGCGUAUAUUAAAGUUGUUGCAGUUAAAAGCUCGUAGUUGAAUUUCUAAGCAACUAAUCAGUCGUUUCGGCUUAUUAGUUGUUUAUCCGACAAUGAACCAUGUCGGUUAUUAAGUUAACCCCAUGGAGAACUGUCAUUUUACUUUGAAAAAUUAGAGUGUUUCAGGCAGGCAAUUGCCCGAAUAUCUUAGCAUGGAAUAAUGGAAUAGGACUUUGGUUCAUUUUAUUGGUUAUUGAAUCAGAGUAAUGAUUAAUAGGGACAGUUGGGGGCAUUAGUAUUUAAUUGUCAGAGGUGAAAUUCUUGGAUUUAUUAAAGACUAUCUUAUGCGAAAGCAUUUGCCAAGGAUGUUUUCAUUAAUCAAGAACGAAAGUUAGGGGAUCGAAGAUGAUCAGAU
Molecule: ribosomal RNA, 398 nt
Filed under: uncultured eukaryote
Lineage: Eukaryota
Description: SSU rRNA
Rfam family: Eukaryotic small subunit ribosomal RNA
Source: RNAcentral